Molecule: long non-coding RNA, 1789 nt
Organism: Gadus macrocephalus (Pacific cod)
Lineage: Eukaryota; Metazoa; Chordata; Actinopteri; Gadiformes; Gadidae
Exons: 2
Source: RefSeq, a predicted model, not a curated record
UCGGGCAGGGUGGUGUCUCCUCGGGCAGGAUGGUGUCUCCCCGUCAGGAUGGUGUCACCUCGGGCAGGGUGGUGUCUCUGAGGGCAGGGUGGUGUCUCUGAGGGCAGGAUGGUGUCUCUGAGGGCAGGAUGGUGUCUCUGAGGGCAGGAUGGUGUCUCUGAGGACAGGGUGGUGUCUCCUCGGGCAGGGUGGAAUACACAGUGCUGUGUCGUCACACUGACUGCGCUCCUAGAGAAAAUGUAGCAAUAAUGUAAGGGGAGACGGCCGAUUCUGUCUAGCAAACAAAGUUACAAUGAAUCAAUCGCCACAGUGAGAUGGACAGUGUCUAAAUAAAGCUUCUCUUUAUUAUUAUUAUCAUAAGAGCUAUGAUGCAAAUGGGGAAUAUUAAGCCUGCGGUGGCAUCUGUACGCGCAGAUUCUCUGAGUCGACUGCUGGGUUUCCUGACUGAUGAUUCGAAUCAUAGACUUUCAGCGGACAGCCCUAGAGUCAAGUAUGCUAAAUGUAGCCUCCAAGAAAACAUAAAAUUGUCCAAGAAUUAAAAGGCAGACUGCAAUCACAGCCUCAUCAUAUGUUUACGAAAGCUACAGCCCAAAAUGAUACAGUAGUGAAAGCUAGAUUUAUUGUGGCUGAAGAAAUCUCAAAGCUUCAAAGUGGUCUUCAAAGGGGGCAUUUCUGAAUCAGUGCAUAAUUAAGGUGUGUGAGCAGGUAUACCCCAAGAUACAGACUUUUUUGAAUGUCAGUUUGUCAAGAAACACCAUCACAGACCGAGUUAAAGAACCAUCCGGCAAUCUUACCCUACAGCUGGCCGAGGAGACGCAAUUAUCGAUGUUAUAACGAUGGUAUAACGAUGUUAUAAUAGCACAGUACAAAUGUAUGUUAUUGCAUGUACAAUACUUGGACACAUGAAUAAACAAUAAUCAAAUGCAAAGACAGUAAUUUAACAAUAUGUUAAGGAACAGUUACAUUUAUGUAGUCUUACUGUUACAAACGGCCCUACUGUCUAACCAUUUACUGCGCCUGAAUGACCUUUCUCUGUACUGUCUAACCCCUACCUUCUCCUUAAUGACCUGUCUCUGUACUGUCUAACCCCUACCUUCUCCUUAAUGACCUGUCUCUGUACUGUCUAACCCCUACCUUCUCCUUAAUGACCUGUCUCUGUACUGUCUAACCCCUACCUGCUCCUUAAUGACCUGUCUCUGUACUGUCUAACCCCUACCUGCAACUUAAUGACCUGUCUCUGUACUGUCUAACCCCUACCUUCUCCUUAAUGACCUGUCUCUGUACUGUCUAACCCCUACCUGCUCCUUAAUGACCUGUCUCUGUACUGUCUAACCCCUACCUGCUCCUUAAUGACCUGUCUCUGUACUGUCUAACCCCUACCUGCAACUUAAUGACCUGUCUCUGUACUGUCUAACCCCUACCUGCUCCUUAAUGACCUGUCUCUGUACUGUCUAACCCCUACCUGCUCCUUAAUGACCUGUCUCUGUACUGUCUAACCCCUACCUGCACCUUAAUGGCCUGCCUCUGUACUGUCUAACCCCUACCUGCUCCUUAAUGACCUGUCUCUGUACUGUCUAACCCCUACCUGCUCCUUAAUGACCUGUCUCUGUACUGUCUAACCCCUACCUGCUCCUUAAUGACCUGUCUCUGUACUGUCUAACCCCUACCUGCUCCUUAAUGACCUGUCUCUGUACUGUCUAACCCCUACCUGCUCCUUAAUGGCCUGCCUCUGUACUGUCUAACCCCUACCUGCUCCUUAAUGGCCUGUCUCUGUACUGUCUAACCCCUA